Non-coding RNA from Nematostella vectensis (starlet sea anemone), 86 nucleotides. The record is from Rfam. Lineage: Eukaryota; Metazoa; Cnidaria; Anthozoa; Actiniaria; Edwardsiidae.
GCCUCGUUAGCGCAGUAGGCGGUGCGUCAGUCUCAUAAUCUGAUUUAGAAAUAUGAAGGUCGUGAGUUCGAUCCUCACACGGGGCA